UUUCUGUAGCAAUACAGGAAGUCGGCGCACGGCGCACGGGUGAGUAACACGUGGGCAAUCUGCCCUCGGAUGGGGGAUAACUCGCCGAAAGGCGAGCUAAUACCGCAUGACAUUCCGAAGACCUCGGUUUUCGGAUUCAAAGGUCGCAAGAUCGUCUGAGGAGGAGCCCGCGCCCGAUUAGCUAGUUGGUGAGGUAACGGCUCACCAAGGCUUUGAUCGGUAGCCGGUCUGAGAGGAUGGCCGGCCACACUGGAACUGAGACACGGUCCAGACUCCUACGGGAGGCAGCAGUGGGGAAUAUUGCGCAAUGGGCGAAAGCCUGACGCAGCGACGCCGCGUGGGGGAUGAAGCUUUUCGGAGUGUAAACCCCUUUCGACCCGGACGAAUGACCCGCAAGGGUUUGACGGUACGGGUAUAAGAAGCCCCGGCUAACUACGUGCCAGCAGCCGCGGUAAUACGUAGGGGGCCAGCGUUGCUCGGAAUUACUGGGCGUAAAGGGUUCGUAGGCGGUGCGGCAAGUCGGGAGUGAAAUCUCUGGGCUUAACUCAGAGGCUGCUUUCGAAACUGCCGUGCUCGAGUGCGAGAGAGGUCAGUGGAAUUGCAGGUGUAGCGGUGAAAUGCGUAGAUAUCUGCAGGAACACCCGUGGCGAAGGCGGCUGACUGGAUCGCAACUGACGCUGAGGAACGAAAGCUAGGGGAGCAAACAGGAUUAGAUACCCUGGUAGUCCUAGCCCUAAACCAUCAGGACUUGGGGUGGCCCGCGUAGGCGGGUCGUCCCGUAGCUAACGCGUUAAGUCCUGCGCCUGGGGAGUACGGUCGCAAGACUGAAACUC
This 833-nucleotide ribosomal RNA is filed under the name uncultured Bacillota bacterium. Its description in RNAcentral is "bacterial SSU rRNA". It matches the Rfam family "Bacterial small subunit ribosomal RNA", at positions 71 to 902 of the family's 1533-position model. Lineage: Bacteria; Bacillati; Bacillota. The record is from RNAcentral.